GACGAACGCUGGCGGCGUGCUUAACACAUGCAAGUCGAACGGUAAGGCCCUUCGGGGUACACGAGUGGCGAACGGGUGAGUAACACGUGGGUGAUCUGCCCUGCACUUUGGGAUAAGCCUGGGAAACUGGGUCUAAUACCGAAUAUGACCAUGGACUUCACGGUUUGUGGUGGAAAGCUUUUGCGGUGUGGGAUGGGCCCGCGGCCUAUCAGCUUGUUGGUGGGGUAAUGGCCUACCAAGGCGACGACGGGUAGCCGGCCUGAGAGGGUGACCGGCCACACUGGGACUGAGAUACGGCCCAGACUCCUACGGGAGGCAGCAGUGGGGAAUAUUGCACAAUGGGCGCAAGCCUGAUGCAGCGACGCCGCGUGGGGGAUGACGGCCUCGGUUGUAACCCUUCUACCAGGACGAAGCGAAAGUAGACGGUACCUGGAGAAGAAGGAACCGGCCGAACUAACGUGCCAGCAGCCG
RNAcentral lists this ribosomal RNA (471 nucleotides) under uncultured bacterium. RNAcentral describes it as "bacterial SSU rRNA". It matches the Rfam family "Bacterial small subunit ribosomal RNA", at positions 28 to 517 of the family's 1533-position model. The record is from RNAcentral.